Molecule: long non-coding RNA, 1260 nt
Filed under: Homo sapiens (human)
Lineage: Eukaryota; Metazoa; Chordata; Mammalia; Primates; Hominidae
Description: HSALNT0005825
Source: RNAcentral
CCAGCAUCCGCCUGGCACCUGACACCUCCCUGCUAGCCAGUCCCAGAGAGCUCUUUUCCUCCAGACUAGCUGGGGCUGGAACUGCUUAGAAUCGGACCCAGAAGAGGCCGAGUUCCGUCCAGGACUAAAGGCAGCCUCCAGGGAAUAAAGCUGUCAGUGUGGGCGCAGACUAGGGAAGGGGCACUAGGUCGUUCAAGCUGAAUGCUGGGGUUCCACAGCCUCCUCACACCCCCUUUAGUGCCUCAGGUAGAGUAGGCUUGUGGGGACACUGAGGUUUCCUCAGGUCCUUUCCCUGCUCAAUAACUCUCCAUGGCUCGCCACUACCCACUGCAUAAAGCCCUAACUCCUAUACCUGGCAUUUGGGAGCCUCUGUGAUUCCACUUCUUCAGUCUCUUCUCCUCCCUAAGCCCCCAUGCCCCAGCCACAGGGGCUACUUAGGUGCCCCUCCUGCUCCCCUUUCCCCUUGCACCCAAACCUUCUCUGCUCAUGUGCUAUUUCCUGGGGCCUUCUCUAGGGCUCAUUCCCUAGUUGGAGUUAAAUUCUGCUUCCAAGGAAUCAGCCACCCAAAUAACAAACCAGUCCACCUGAGAAUCUAGUCUGUGAUGCAGCGUCAAUAGCUUCUGAUGAAUUUGCUUCUGACCAGUAGCCUCCAGGGGUCAUAAAACAUUCACAGAGAGGAACACAGAGAAGAUGUGGGUCUUCAGGCUCAGAGAAGAGAAGGCAUUGUUUGCCCAUGAAUGUUUGCAAGUAAAUAGCAGAGCUGGGACUCAAAGAGUCCGGAUCUGGGGCUCCAUCAUGAAUCUCUAAGAGUGGCCCAGAGAUUCUCACGUUCCCUAGUCAUUCACCCACGUGCCUCAGCUGCAGAACCUGUCCUCAAGGUGCUCACAGGCUGAGGGAAGGCAGACAGAGGACAAGUGGCAACCUACAAAACACCAAAUGGUAAAGGAGAGAAAGAUUUCCACUUGGGAGAACCAGGGACACUUCCCGGAGGAGGAAGGACCCAUGGUGCUUUUUGGCAUGGUGAGGUCGGGGAGGGCUUCCCAGGCAGAGGAGACAAGCUGAGCAAAUGUGUGGAUGUGAGUUGCUGGUGUGAGGGGCGAGGCUGAGCGUGUAAACUGGUGCCAUGAAGAAGGACCGUGAUGGCCAGGCUUGGCCCUUACUCCCUCCAUGACAAUUUCAGACAGAUGAGCAGGAGAGUGGCAGGGUGCAGGACUGGAGGACAAAAGACCAGAGGAGAUGGAGGCCCUGCAGACAGCAGGG